GAUGAACGCUAGCGGCAGGCUUAAUACAUGCAAGUCGAGGGGCAGCGGGGGUAGCAAUACCUGCCGGCGACCGGCAAACGGGUGCGGAACACGUACACAACCUUCCUUUAAGUGGGGGAUAGCCCAGAGAAAUUUGGAUUAAUACCCCGUAAUAUUGUUGAAUGGCAUCAUUUAACAAUUAAAGCCCAGGCGCUUGGAGAUGGGUGUGCGUCUGAUUAGGUAGUUGGUGUGGGUAAAGGCCUACCAAGCCUACGAUCAGUAACUGGUGUGAGAGCACGACCAGUCACACGGGCACUGAGACACGGGCCCCGACUCCUACGGGAGGCAGCAGUAAGGAAUAUUGGUCAAUGGACGCAAGUCUGAACCAGCCAUGCCGCGU
RNAcentral lists this ribosomal RNA (379 nucleotides) under uncultured bacterium. RNAcentral's name for it is "bacterial SSU rRNA". It matches the Rfam family "Bacterial small subunit ribosomal RNA", at positions 28 to 402 of the family's 1533-position model. The record is from RNAcentral.